UCAAAAUGAUGAGAUUCCACUUCAUUGGUCCGUGUUUCUGAAAAACAUGAUAUUUGUGAGAAUUCUGAUUUG
This is a small nucleolar RNA of 72 nucleotides. Its record names the gene SNORD18. It matches the Rfam family "Small nucleolar RNA SNORD18". From Rfam's summary of the family: U18 is a member of the C/D class of snoRNA which contain the C (UGAUGA) and D (CUGA) box motifs. It is encoded in introns of ribosomal protein L1 in Xenopus and human, and in introns of elongation factor 1 beta in yeast. Related snoRNAs in Arabidopsis and rice have been named R63 and Z106 respectively. The record is from Ensembl.